RNAcentral lists this transfer RNA (74 nucleotides) under Candidatus Woesearchaeota archaeon. RNAcentral describes it as "tRNA-Phe". It matches the Rfam family "tRNA". From Rfam's summary of the family: Transfer RNA (tRNA) molecules are approximately 80 nucleotides in length. Their secondary structure includes four short double-helical elements and three loops (D, anti-codon, and T loops). Further hydrogen bonds mediate the characteristic L-shaped molecular structure. tRNAs have two regions of fundamental functional importance: the anti-codon, which is responsible for specific mRNA codon recognition, and the 3' end, to which the tRNAs corresponding amino acid is attached (by aminoacyl-tRNA synthetases). tRNAs cope with the degeneracy of the genetic code in two manners: having more than one tRNA (with a specific anti-codon) for a particular amino acid; and 'wobble' base-pairing, i.e. permitting non-standard base-pairing at the 3rd anti-codon position. The record is from RNAcentral. Lineage: Archaea; Nanobdellati; Candidatus Woesearchaeota.
GGGGCGGUAGCUUAGCCUGGGAAAGCAUACGGCUGAAGACCGUAGGACCGGGAGUUCAAAUCUCCCUCGCCCCA